CGUAGGGUGCGAGCGUUAAUCGGAAUUACUGGGCGUAAAGUGUGCGCAGGCGGCGUUGCAAGUCGAGUGUGAAAGCCCCGGGCUUAACUUGGGUAUUGCGCUCGAAACUACGAUGCUGGAGUGUGGCAGAGGAAGGUGGAAUUCCACGUGUAGCGGUGAAAUGCGUAGAGAUGUGGAGGAACACCAAUGGCGAAGGCAGCCUUCUGGGCCAACACUGACGCUCAUGCACGAAAGCGUGGGGAGCAAACAGGAUUAGAUACCCUGGUAGUCCACGCCCUAAACGAUGAUGACUAGUUGUUGGGGGAGUUAAAUCCCUUAGUAACGCAGCUAACGCGCGAAGUCAUCCGCCUGGGGAGUACGGUCGCAAGAUUA
RNAcentral lists this ribosomal RNA (372 nucleotides) under uncultured organism. RNAcentral's name for it is "bacterial SSU rRNA". It matches the Rfam family "Bacterial small subunit ribosomal RNA", at positions 526 to 896 of the family's 1533-position model. The record is from RNAcentral.